RNAcentral lists this ribosomal RNA (1317 nucleotides) under Triticum aestivum (bread wheat). RNAcentral's name for it is "partial small subunit ribosomal RNA". The record is from RNAcentral. Lineage: Eukaryota; Viridiplantae; Streptophyta; Magnoliopsida; Poales; Poaceae.
AUGUGGGCCACAGUUGUAAUGCUUGGGGGUUUCUGCACCCUGCUCGAACCAACCGAUUUCUGGUCUACAACAGCUAUAAUAUUUAUUGAAGCUUUCAGAUUUUUCACUCGAGAUAACCGUUUGGAGAAUCACCCGUUGUUUGGAACUAAUGCAGCUAUUAAAAAGCUAACAUCUCACAGUGUGUUAAAGGAUGAAAAACAUACAUUUUAUGCGGUAUUGGCAGUUGUCAGCUUAUGUGACAGGAUACUUUUUGUUUGUCCGAGAAAUGUCAAGGGCAUCGCUCUCAUUGUAAUGGCAGCUUCCGGGGUUCUGAUUGGCAAUCUGCCUUUUGCCGUGCAGACAAUCCUGCAACAUCAUCUGUGGCUCUUCUUAAGCUCUCUGCUUGUCAUUCUACUCACCCUCUCCGCCCAAUUGAUCAGAAAAUUCUGGAUCCGUGGUAAGUCUCAAGGAUCUCAACUUGCAGUUGUACUAGUGCACACUGCAGUGCUAUUACUCAUGGUCAUAGUGCAGAGCAUAUCCGUUUACAUUCUUGUAUGCAAACCGCCACGGGUUAGGCAGAUAAUAAGCAAGUGGAUUAAAGUGUUAUACCUUGUUAAGGUGGUGCUGGGCUUAGCCUUGAUAGUGGGGAUGUUUUCUCUCUUCCUGCCUUCUGUUGACUGGUUCGUCUAUGGUAAUUUAGUGAAGAUGAUGGUAACCCUGAUCUUCGCACUAAGCACCAUUCCGAGCCCAAACAAUGAAACUGCGUACUAUUGGAUGGACGUCGGCUUGUGCAUAUCAAUGGCAAUCAGCUGGGUUUUCUGCAUCGAGUCUGCAGUUUUUAACCCAGGGGUGCUGCUUGUUAUACUUAUCUGUGGUAACCUGCAGCUCCCGGCAGCAAUAGCGCGUAUGCUGCUAUCAGCCAUGAGGCUUCAAGAUCAGCAGCUUGUUAAAUCGUAUCCCACUCCAGGAAGCAAAAAUUUAUUGCCUACGCUACAUCUUUUUUACUGGUUUGUGAUCUUCCAAGGCACAUUCUAUUUGUGUGCUUGCAUUAUCAACUUUUAUGGGGCUAAACUGCAGUUGCACAAUGAAAAGGGCUUGGGGGAUGUUCAAAAGGAAGAAGCAGCAUUUGGCCCUCAAACCAUUCUGGACACUUAUGGGACUAGACUGCAGUUGCACAAUGAAAAGGGUUUGGGGGAUGUUCAAACAGAAGAAGAAGCAUUUGUCUCUCAAACCAUUCCAGACGGUUCUAUAGCAAUUAGCAUAAGAUCUGACGAGGAACAAUCAAACACCAAUCCAGUUAACUGCAUACUGGUCGGGACACUCCCUGUCCCCCUAUAA